RNAcentral lists this ribosomal RNA (255 nucleotides) under uncultured bacterium. RNAcentral describes it as "partial 16S ribosomal RNA". It matches the Rfam family "Bacterial small subunit ribosomal RNA", at positions 524 to 777 of the family's 1533-position model. The record is from RNAcentral.
UACGAAGGGGGCUAGCGUUGCUCGGAAUCACUGGGCGUAAAGCGCACGUAGGCGGAUCUUUAAGUCAGGGGUGAAAUCCCAAGGCUCAACCUUGGAACUGCCUUUGAUACUGGGGAUCUCGAGUCCGGAAGAGGUUGGUGGAACUGCGAGUGUAGAGGUGAAAUUCGUAGAUAUUCGCAAGAACACCAGUGGCGAAGGCGGCCAACUGGUCCGGUACUGACGCUGAGGUGGCGAAAGCGUGGGGAGCAAACAGGG